Molecule: ribosomal RNA, 253 nt
Filed under: uncultured bacterium
Lineage: Bacteria
Description: partial 16S ribosomal RNA
Rfam family: Bacterial small subunit ribosomal RNA
Source: RNAcentral
UACGUAGGGGGCUAGCGUUGUCCGGAUUUAUUGGGCGUAAAGAGCGUGUAGGCGGCCAGGUAGGUCUGCUGUGAAAACUCGAGGCUUAACCUCGAGAUGUCGGCGGAAACCAUCUGGCUAGAGUCCGGAAGAGGAGAGUGGAAUUCCUGGUGUAGCGGUGAAAUGCGCAGAUAUCAGGAGGAACACCGAUUGCGAAGGCAGCUCGCUGGGACGUUACUGACGCUGAGACGCGAAAGCGUGGGGAGCAAACAGG